AAUAAAUUUAUCUAUGAGUUUCGAUGUCUAGUGUUUAAUCGUUUGUCUUAUUUAAACUUUUUAUGAUGGGCAUUUUUAUUAUUAUUAGAUGAUAAAACAUGAAGAAUACUCAUGCAUUACUUAUUUUUUAAUUUUUUUUAUAAAUUCUUAAAAUGAAAUGAAUGAUUAAACGUUAGGCACAUAAGCGCAUAAAUGAGGACGGA
RNAcentral lists this microRNA precursor (203 nucleotides) under Oryza nivara. Its description in RNAcentral is "MIR812 microRNA precursor family". It matches the Rfam family "MIR812 microRNA precursor family". Lineage: Eukaryota; Viridiplantae; Streptophyta; Magnoliopsida; Poales; Poaceae. The record is from Rfam by way of RNAcentral.